This 544-nucleotide ribosomal RNA is filed under the name uncultured bacterium. RNAcentral's name for it is "bacterial SSU rRNA". It matches the Rfam family "Bacterial small subunit ribosomal RNA", at positions 777 to 1319 of the family's 1533-position model. The record is from RNAcentral.
AAUAGAUACCCCGGUAGUCCACCCCGUAAACGUUGGGAACUAGUUGUGGGGUCCUUUCCACGGAUUCCGUGACGCAGCUAACGCAUUAAGUUCCCCGCCUGGGGAGUACGGCCGCAAGGCUAAAACUCAAAGGAAUUGACGGGGACCCGCACAAGCGGCGGAGCAUGCGGAUUAAUUCGAUGCAACGCGAAGAACCUUACCAAGGCUUGACAUACACCAGAACACCCUAGAAAUAGGGGACUCUUUGGACACUGGUGAACAGGUGGUGCAUGGUUGUCGUCAGCUCGUGUCGUGAGAUGUUGGGUUAAGUCCCGCAACGAGCGCAACCCUCGUUCUAUGUUGCCAGCACGUAAUGGUGGGAACUCAUGGGAUACUGCCGGGGUCAACUCGGAGGAAGGUGGGGAUGACGUCAAAUCAUCAUGCCCCUCAUGUCUUGGGCUUCACGCAUGCUACAAUGGCCGGUACAAAGGGCUGCAAUACCGUGAGGUGGAGCGAAUCCCAAAAAGCCGGUCCCAGUUCGGAUUGAGGUCUGCAACUCGACCUC